CUUCGAUUAGAGCCUUGUAUCAAUAGAUAUUUCACCUCAUUUUGAAUUCAGAGUAUCUGAGAUGGCUUCAUCACUAUUUUUUACAUUACUUACUAUAAGUUCUAUCAGUUCUGUUCUUACGAUGACGUUGUGCUUCUACUGCACUUCUGAAAGAGAAUGUGAAUCGCCAAGAACUGUAUUGUGCCGCCAACCAUAUAAUUACUGCUUUUCAUUAGUAUUUCGAAAUGGUGAGCCUUUCAAAUCUUGCACCGGAAGUAAGCAUAAGUGUGAAAGUAAGAUGGAAGAUGGAGAACUUGAAUUUCCAGAGUGCGAAUUAUGCCAAACAGAUGAAUGUAAUACAAUGAAAUUCAAAAAAUCAUAGAAAGUCUACCUGCGUAUUCAUGAAAUAAAUAGUUAUAAUGAAAAUAUUUUA
This is a long non-coding RNA of Harmonia axyridis, 412 nucleotides long. RefSeq lists it as uncharacterized. Lineage: Eukaryota; Metazoa; Arthropoda; Insecta; Coleoptera; Coccinellidae. The record is from RefSeq and is a predicted model, not a curated record. The transcript is spliced from 2 exons.